AGUGAACGCUGGCGGCAUGCUUUACACAUGCAAGUCGAACGGUAACAGGCCUUCGGGUGCUGACGAGUGGCGAACGGGUGAGUAAUGCAUCGGAACGUGCCCAAUCGUGGGGGAUAACGUAGCGAAAGUUACGCUAAUACCGCAUAAGCCCUGAGGGGGAAAGUGGGGGACCGCAAGGCCUCACGCGAAUGGAGCGGCCGAUGUCAGAUUAGCUAGUUGGUGGGGUAAAGGCCCACCAAGGCGACGAUCUGUAGCGGGUCUGAGAGGAUGAUCCGCCACACUGGGACUGAGACACGGCCCAGACUCCUACGGGAGGCAGCAGUGGGGAAUUUUGGACAAUGGGCGCAAGCCUGAUCCAGCCAUGCCGCGUGCGGGACGAAGGCC
Molecule: ribosomal RNA, 384 nt
Filed under: uncultured bacterium
Lineage: Bacteria
Description: bacterial SSU rRNA
Rfam family: Bacterial small subunit ribosomal RNA
Source: RNAcentral